AGAACAUGAGCAGCUUGAUAUGGU
This 24-nucleotide non-coding RNA is filed under the name Arabidopsis thaliana (thale cress). Lineage: Eukaryota; Viridiplantae; Streptophyta; Magnoliopsida; Brassicales; Brassicaceae. The record is from RNAcentral.